RNAcentral lists this ribosomal RNA (253 nucleotides) under uncultured bacterium. RNAcentral's name for it is "partial 16S ribosomal RNA". It matches the Rfam family "Bacterial small subunit ribosomal RNA", at positions 524 to 776 of the family's 1533-position model. The record is from RNAcentral.
UACGUAGGGACCAAGCGUUGUUCGGAUUUACUGGGCGUAAAGGGCGCGUAGGCGGCGUGACAAGUCAGUUGUGAAAUCUCUGAGCUUAACUCAGAACGGUCAACUGAUACUGUUGUGCUAGAGUGCAGAAGGGGCAACCGGAAUUCUUGGUGUAGCGGUGAAAUGCGUAGAUAUCAAGAGGAACACCUGAGGUGAAGACGGGUUGCUGGGCUGACACUGACGCUGAGGCGCGAAAGCUAGGGUAGCAAACGGG